Danionella cerebrum is the source of this 67-nucleotide non-coding RNA. The record is from the annotation of a GenBank genome assembly. NCBI's taxonomy places the organism in Eukaryota, Metazoa, Chordata, Actinopteri, Cypriniformes, Danionidae.
UAUCCCUUUAGUUGGUUGAGCAUUGCAUUCACAAUGCAAAGGUUGUGGGUUCAAAUCCCAAGGAAAG